Molecule: long non-coding RNA, 1013 nt
Organism: Clupea harengus (Atlantic herring)
Lineage: Eukaryota; Metazoa; Chordata; Actinopteri; Clupeiformes; Clupeidae
Source: Ensembl
UCUGACCAGGUUUGUCACUGUAUGCAGCAGUUCCCGAAGUGUGUGGCAGGUGGGUGGUACACAGGGUUACAGCAAGGGGGCGCAGAUUGAGGGUGAAAAAACAGAAACCUAAACAACCAAAUAUAUAAAUAGAAAAUUAAAAAUGUUACUCAUCACCUACAAAGCCCUAAAUAACUUGGCCCCUCCCUACCCCUCAGACCUCCUCCCCCGCCACGCCCCAACACGUUGCCUCAGGUCCGCCGGCGCAAACACUCAAGACCAUCAGGACCAAGCUCCAGACCUGGGGUGACACGGCCUUUUCAGUUGCUGCACCCUCCCUCUGGAACGCCAUCCACAUCCCCCAGGCUCCCACCCUACCAUCGUUCAAACAAGCCCUCUUCAAAUUCGCCUUCACCUGCUAACCCCUGUUCCCUUUCUCUCCCUAUCCUCCAUUCCAUGACUUGUUCCGCACUGCUUCUCUAGGUUUUUUUUUUUUUUUUUUACUAAAAUGUUCUGUUUGCUCUUUUUGUGUUUUGUUCUGCCCUAUAUACAGAGUCUUUGGGUACUUAGAAAAGCGCUAUACAAGUCUAAGGGAUCAUUAUUAUGCUAUAUUUACAUUUAUUUACUAAGUUUUGAGAAAUAUGCAUGUAUUUAUGAAAUGUAUGAGUAUUAGUUGAAGGCAAGAUUAUGUUUAAAUAAGUAUCAAAUGUAUGCAUAUAAGUUUAUAUGAUGGUGUAUACCUCUGUCUUGUUAUACACUAUGUUACGACCGGCUCAUGAGGUCGCAACAUAAAAAGGAGGAGGCAGACAACAAGGUGAAUGGUUACAAAAAAUGUGUUUAUUUGGUCAAAAGGAAGAUCCAACAAAAAAGUCUAGGGGAUUCAAAGAUGUGUGGAUGCGUGAAGCGAGUAUGUUUGUGAGUAGGGAUGAUUGCAAAAAGUGUGUCCAAAAGUAAAUGAGAGGAGCGGAAGCUGAAAGGGGCCGCUCUCAAGACCUUGCAGUGCUUUUAUACUCACUCCUGGCGGCAGGUGUGGG